CCUACGGGAGGCAGCAGUGGGGAAUAUUGGACAAUGGGGGAAACCCUGAUCCAGCGACGCCGCGUGAGUGAAGAAGUAUUUCGGUACGUAAAGCUCUAUCAGCAGGAACGAAAAUGACGGUACCUGACUAAGAAGCCCCGGCUAACUACGUGCCAGCAGCCGCGGUAAUACGUAGGGGGCAAGCGUUAUCCGGAUUUACUGGGUGGAAAGGGAGCGUAGACGGCAGCGCAAGUCUGGAGUGAAAUGCCGGGGCGCAACCCCGGAACUGCUCUGGAAACUGUGUAACUGGAGUACAGGAGGGGCAGGCGGAAUUCCUGGUGUAGCGGUGAAAUGCGUAGAUAUCAGGAGGAACACCAGCGGCGAAGGCGGCCUGCUGGACUGAAACUGACGUUGAGGCUCGAAAGCGUGGGGAGCAAACAGGAUUAGAUACCCCAGUAGUC
This 440-nucleotide ribosomal RNA is filed under the name uncultured bacterium. RNAcentral describes it as "partial 16S ribosomal RNA". It matches the Rfam family "Bacterial small subunit ribosomal RNA", at positions 338 to 795 of the family's 1533-position model. The record is from RNAcentral.